GUUGCUCAUUUCAAAGCCCCGCCCUUUUUUCUACCUGUAGGAAACAAAACCAGCCCUGUAGCACGACAUGCAGACGGGUGUGACCGCAGAACUGACUUUUGUUCUUGUUAAACCUUGAGUCUUCAUCCUGUGCAACACAGGAAACAGUCUUUCACUUUCAAGAAAGUCAGGGACUCAUGGGCAGUGUGUCCUUCCUCUAUAUUUACAUCACAGGGCUGAUCACUUCUGUUGAUCCUCAGGUCGUAUCGGCUCGACUGGGUUCCACAGCUGUCCUGCCCUGUGAACCGAGUCAUGCCUCCAAGCCGACAGUAUAUGUUCAGUGGCGCACUGAUUCUGCUGUUGUGUUUGAAAGAACGAGAAGGGAUUCAUACCAAGGUGAAAGAUAUAAGGGCCGUGUGGACGUUCCUGAGAAGCAGCUGCUUGAGGGCAACUGUUCUCUGGUGCUGAAGAACGUGUAUAUUAAUGAUGCUGGAGUUUACUACAGUUACCUGGUCAUGAAACACCGAAAGAGAUCUGUCGCUCGUUUCAUCCAGAGAGUCGAGCUUGAAGUUUAUGGUAAGUGUUUUAAUUAUAGUACAGUGUAAAAUAGCUGGCUGAAAGAAUGAAGUUUGGUGAAUCUGGAAACCUGGCGUGAGCUGUUUUAACUCGGUGACGUCCGGUGAGGACGCGGACAUUUUUAUAUCAACAUAAAUGAAAGCAGCUCUUUCCGAGUGUGAAACGGCCUUCCUCAUCUCUCACAGUGCAUUUAAUAUAAACCUGGGAUGUGCAGCUGCACUACACUCAGAGCUGCUGUUACAGUAAAUUAAUCAACAACUUCUGACCAAUCACGAUCCAGAACUCAACAGCGCUGUGGUAUCAAUUACGAUAACAUUUCCUUUUGUAGUGUGCAUUAUAUUGCACUUGUCAAGUCCAUAUUAAACUGUCAUCCAAUAAAAUCACUUGAUAUGAUAAAAUGAGAUGGACAAGUGUUCUUAACCAUUAGGAAGCCAGCGAGAGGAAGUGGGUGGAGUCAAAACAAUGCAGAGCACAGUUAGGAAGAGGAAACACUUUGAAUUAGUUUUGUUCCUGGCCUAUACAUGUUCCUGAUCUAGCCUUAUAUUUUAUAUUAAUUGUUGAAAAAUACACUAAAUUUCUUUUCUUUUUUUCCCCCUCAUCCACCCAGUUAUCGAAGAAGCUGGAACUACCUUCUCUCAGCUAUUCCUGAUCGUUUCCCUUUUAUGUUUAUUAUAUUUUCUGUUCUACACUGUAAAGAAGAAACUGUUGAUGGAAGUGAAAAUAUCAAGACAUUGUGAAGUCUGAGUUUAACUGCCGUUAUCUCAGUUAAGAUUAUCUUAUUUAACUGAUAUUUAAUUCCUGCUUCAGCCAAUUAAAACAUAAACAUGGCUAAAAUACUUAAAUACUUGAUUCUGGAAAAACAGCUGAAGCUUUGCUUUAUUCAGUCUGUAUGUAUUACAUAAUAUUUUGAAAGACAUGAAGAAAUUCAUAACGGAUUUCAUUCACAACAGGAGCUGAACAGAUGUGACUGAAUGUAUUCUCAAUUACAAUAAUCAGUUAUUGUAAAUAUUGAUUUUAUUCACUUAAAAAAAACUUGUAUUUUAAAUGUAAAAUAAAACUUUUGUACCUCUUACAUUGAUAUGUUAAAACCUAA
Molecule: long non-coding RNA, 1648 nt
Organism: Ictalurus punctatus (channel catfish)
Lineage: Eukaryota; Metazoa; Chordata; Actinopteri; Siluriformes; Ictaluridae
Exons: 4
Source: RefSeq, a predicted model, not a curated record